CCUACGGGAGGCAGCAGUGGGGGAUAUUGCACAAUGGGGGAAACCCUGAUGCAGCGACGCCGCGUGGGUGAAGACGUAUCUCGGUAUGUAAAGCCCUAUCAGCAGGGAAGAAAGAAGACGGUACCUGACUAAGAAGCCCCGGCUAACUAGGUGCCAGCAGCCGCGGUAAUACGUAGGGGGCGAGCUUUAUCCGGAUUCACUGGGUGUAAAGGGAGCGUAGACGGCUGUGGAAGCCAGGAGUGAAAGCCCGGGGCCCAACCCCGGGACUGCUCUUGGAACUGGGCGGCUGGAGUGCGGGAGGGGCAGGCGGAAUUCCUGGUGUAGCGGUGAAAUGCGUAGAUAUCAGGAGGAACACCGGCGGCGAAGGCGGCCUGCUGGACCGCGACUGACGUUGAGGCUCGAAAGCGUGGGGAGCGAACAGGAUUAGAUACCCCAGUAGUC
Molecule: ribosomal RNA, 441 nt
Filed under: uncultured bacterium
Lineage: Bacteria
Description: partial 16S ribosomal RNA
Rfam family: Bacterial small subunit ribosomal RNA
Source: RNAcentral